UCUCCUUCCUUCUUCUCUUCUCCUUCAUAGCCUUCCUCUCCAGAGUUUUUGUGGUGACCAUGUAACAAUUUUUUCGCGAUUUUUCCAGCAACCUUUCUCACCAAAUUCUUAUUUUUAUCAUCAUGACUGUCUUCUGUCUUAUCGGCAUUGCUUUCAUCAUUAAUGAUCUCCUGAAUUUCUUUUGGCUUGUUUUGAGCUGCAGGUGGAUCAUCUUCGUGUUUGUGGUGUAUAUGUAGCUUCUCCUCGAUCUUGUGCAGAAUUCUUGACAUAUUGCUAGUCUAUA
Molecule: long non-coding RNA, 283 nt
Filed under: Capsicum annuum
Lineage: Eukaryota; Viridiplantae; Streptophyta; Magnoliopsida; Solanales; Solanaceae
Description: long non-coding RNA (CANN_LNC003093)
Source: RNAcentral